CCAUGGUUGUCAGGAUCGGGAUCCCACUAAAGAUCGUUGGGGUAUAAAAAGAUCGUAGAUCGUAGGAUCGUAACAAGGAUCGUAAGAUCCCACAAAUUUUCUCAUACAUAAAAACAUCAUUAAUAUUAAACAUAAUCAAAACAUAAAAACUUCAUUAGUCAUUAACAUAAUCAAAAUAGCUUAGACUUUUAAACUUAAAUAAACAUAGACAUAGAAAAAUAACUUAGACUCUUAAACUUAAAAACUAAACAUAGACUCUUAAACUUAAUAGCUUAGACUCUUAAACUUAAACUUAAAAACCCCUAAUUCAUCAAGUCCUUCGAGACAAGUGCAGUUCUGAGAGGUUGAAGAGAUGAGAAUAGGAUGAAGAGAAUUUAUAGAAGAUAUUGAACUAGGGAUACAAGUGAAUGAUUAGUAAAUACUAUUAAUAAAAUUAGAGAUACGGUUGAUGAAUUAGGGAUAGGGAUGCGAUUUGUAUCAAGUAGCCACCAAUUCCCCAAGUUAACAAAAGUUCCUCAAUUUUCGAUCCAAAACGAGCAGGUUUCUAGUUGAAACGGUUCAGUUUCGGGUUGGGGCAGUGCAAUAUGAACCGGGUCAAAACAGAGCAACUGGAUCGGGUCGGUGCGAAACAGGUUUAAACUUUAUUAACCCGGUAUGAAACGACGCGUGGAAGAUCGCUGAUCCUGCGAUUUCACGCUCUUCCUCUGCGCUUUCACUGUUUCAGUGUAUCUUAGGAGUUUCGAACCGCUCCGGCACGGUGGAUGACGGCCAACUCGUAAGAUCGUAAGAUCUGAGGAGUUAACUCCCGAUCUUGACAACCAUAUAUUCUAUAGUUACUCCCAUUCAUAAACAAUUUUCUUGCAGAGGGGUUACUGAAGGGAAUUGUAACUUUGUAAGUAGCUAGUUGAAAGAAUAUCAUAUUAGCUGCAUUUCUGGUAGCGAAAUGGAGUAUAUCAGCGCAGCAAAACAAAAUUCAGGACAUCGUGAUUCCAGGCAGUUUUGAUAUUGUCAAUUAGUGCAAAUCC
Molecule: long non-coding RNA, 1025 nt
Filed under: Trifolium pratense (red clover)
Lineage: Eukaryota; Viridiplantae; Streptophyta; Magnoliopsida; Fabales; Fabaceae
Description: long non-coding RNA (TPRA_LNC003106)
Source: RNAcentral